UGAGCCGGCCGGGCGGCCGCGGCGCCGGGAACGGACACUCACACGGUGUCACGCCGGGCGCCGAGGAAAGUCCGGACUCCACAGAGCAGGGCGGUUGCUAACGGCAACCCGGGGCAACCCGCGGGACAGUGCCACAGAAAACAGACCGCCCGUGACCCGUCAGGGCCACGGGUAAGGGUGAAACGGUGCGGUAAGAGCGCACCAGCGCCCCGGGUGACCGGGGCGGCUCGGUAAACCCCGCCCGGAGCAAGGUCGAAGGCCGCACCCCAGGGUGCGGUUGCGCAGGUGUUCGAGGGCUGCUCGCCCGAGCCUGCGGGUGGACCGCUCGAGGUACCCGGCGACGGUGUGCCCAGAUGGAUGGCCGCCACCCGGUGCGAACCGGGGACAGGAUCCGGCUUACAGGCCGGCUCAUCCG
This 415-nucleotide RNase P RNA is filed under the name Nocardia speluncae. RNAcentral describes it as "Bacterial RNase P class A". It matches the Rfam family "Bacterial RNase P class A". From Rfam's summary of the family: Ribonuclease P (RNase P) is a ubiquitous endoribonuclease, found in archaea, bacteria and eukarya as well as chloroplasts and mitochondria. Its best characterised activity is the generation of mature 5'-ends of tRNAs by cleaving the 5'-leader elements of precursor-tRNAs. Cellular RNase Ps are ribonucleoproteins. Lineage: Bacteria; Bacillati; Actinomycetota; Actinomycetes; Mycobacteriales; Nocardiaceae. The record is from Rfam by way of RNAcentral.